This 6689-nucleotide long non-coding RNA is filed under the name Heterocephalus glaber (naked mole-rat). Its description in RNAcentral is "lncRNA (ENSHGLG00100051689.1)". Lineage: Eukaryota; Metazoa; Chordata; Mammalia; Rodentia; Bathyergidae. The record is from RNAcentral.
AGGAAAGUAACCAAGACAGUUCAGGGUUGGCUGGCUCUGUUUGAGGGGCAGCGCAUCACGGCGGGGAACGUGGAGGAACAAAGCUGUUCCCCUCCCUGCGACCGGGAAACAACUGGGGGCAGCGUCCCAGUAUUCCCUUCCGGGUCACACCUGACUUCCGGGGUUUAACUUCCUGCCAUUUGGCCCCACUUUCUGAAGGUUCCGCGACCCACCCAGCUUGGCGACCAAACCUUUAACGUAGGAGCCUUUGAGCCUUUGAGGGAGAGAGGAUUCAAGUCCUGCCAGUCAGCAAACAGGAAUAAAGGGGAAGCAGGAAAGACGAGAGGUGCUGGCGCAGGUCGGCGUUCACAGCAGCUGAGGCCUGUUUGGCCAAGCUCCAUAAUAACCCAGAGAAGACACCCAAAUAAUCUGGAGAGCUGUGUUUUUCUCUGUCAGUUUAGGACUGACCGCUUGGCCAAGGAAACAGGUGGAGGAAGCAGGCCAGGGAAGGCUCUGCCAGCCCGACGAAGCAGAUAGGGCCGAGUCUGAAACCCAGGCCGAGCUGAAGUUGCAGUUAGUGUGGAAAUGAAGAUCUUUCAGAAGAGAGGACGUUCCCAGAGCUUGUUCUCUGUUGUCUCGCCGUCUCUUGGCUCCACCCAGACAGCCCCUUGGCUCGCAGACUGUGGCUCCCCAGCGGGACGGCGGGCAGCCUCCCUAACCUUCUCCUGUAAGGCAGAGAGAAGAGGACGACAUGCUCCCCUCGGAACCCACACGCCGCAGCAGAGUUUGCUGCAGACCCCCAAAGCCAAAUCGCGGGGAGUCCUCGAUGGCAUUUCCGGGAGCUGCCACCACCUACCUAAAAAGCUGGUCUCUCUGCAAAGGCUGGAGAGCCGGAGCUAAAGUCAGAGGACUCAAGCUUGUCUACCUGUUGGGGUCAUAAAGAAGAGCCUGGCACACAGCAUGAACAUAAUAAACACUUGCUGCACACGGACAAAUGGAUGAAGCCCUGCCAUUCGCCUCACGUCGUGGGAGGGGGCCAGCAUCUUCUGGUAGGACAGGAAGGCAUGGGAGCAGGAAGGCUGUUGAAGGAGAGCAAAGAUCCAUGGAAGGUGCUGGGUGAGGGUGCCCUGCCCGUCUCCUGGUCUCCCGCUGUCGCUCCUCCAUUCCUACUGGCAGCUCCCACAGGAUGCCCCCUGUAGGCGCAGGAACAAACUGCAAUGUAUCAGCAUGGGAAGCACAACUCCCACUGUUGGGACUGGUAGGAAAUGGCCUUGUCUCAAGUAACCAGAAGCCAAGAGAAAGCACAGGCAGGGCUUUGCAGAGCUGGAAGGGCAGGAGGGGGACAGGAAGGAGCCCUGGCCAGGCCAGCAUGGCCACGUAGAAAAUGGAAUCAAUUCCCAGAAUGCCAACCCAGAACCAGAAUCCCCAGGACUUCCCCAGCAGUUUAUGAAGUCAGGGAUUCUCAUCCCCAAAAAGUGGCUGUCUGGGAGCUGAAGUGAGACAGACCUGGGUGAGUUCCUAGUCCACCUUUGUUGUCUGUGAACAUGGAGAAUGAGGGUUCUUGCAAGGAUCAAAGCAAUGAUGCUCUUGAAGAGCUCGGUGUGCAGGUGCUUGGGGAACCCCAGUUGAAAUUUGUUUUCACACUCAGAAGCUGGAAUGGUGUUUGGCAGAGCCACUGAGAAAGUAAGAAGGACAGGAGUGGGGGAACCCCAGGUCCAUCUCCACCUGGUUAUUUGAGCACAAGGUCACCCCACCUCUCACAACCACUGUCUCCUUGGAGUAAAAGGGCUUGGACUUGAUGCACCCUAACAGUGCUCUUCACCUCCAGGGCCUUGCGAUUUGUGACCCUGAACAGAUCAUUUUUCACUGGGCUCUGUUAGAGGAGGGAAAUAUGAGACAAGGACUUAACCGGAUGUCACAAAGCGGGUUCUCGGAGGUUUUCUUCACAGACUUGGAAGAUGUCCCUGUGCCCUCUGUCUUAAUUGCUUUCUCGUUGCUGAGACACAAUAUCUGAUGCCUGAAAAUUAAAUGCAGAAGUUUAUUCUGGCCCUCAGUUGGUAGAGAUUUUAGUCCAUAGUCCACUGGCCCCAAGGCAGAGGGGUGUGGCAGAGGAGGAACAGUCCAUGGCAUCGUAGCAGGAAGCAGAGAGAGAUCAAGGGAGGAGGAGGGAGGCAGACUUCCAAGCCACACCUCCAGUGACCCACACCUCCAACCAGGCUUCAUCUUCCAACAUCACAUUUGUCUAUAAACUCACCAGUGCACCAAUCCACGGAUGAGUGUCAGAACCCCAUUAUCCAGUCACUUCUCAAAAGCCCCACCUAUGAGCACAUGAGGCUUUGAGGGGGCAUCUAGUUAUAAACCAUAACACCCUUAAGUCUCUGCUAAUAUCCUGUCGUUGUCACCCCACAUGUAAGACCUAUGAAAUGCAGGGACAGCCUCACACCAUGGCAAACUAGUCAGUGACUCCUAAGCCUGGCUGUUAUGAUUUGGAUCUUAAAUGUCCCCUGAAGGCUCCAGUGUUGGAAGUUUGGGCCCAGCUUAUGGAGCUACUGGGAGGUGGUAGAACCCAUAGGAGGUGGGACCUAGUGGAAGGAUGCCACUGAAAUGUGAUCAUGAAGGGACAUUGGGGCCCCACCCCUCCCCUCACUGCUUCCCAGCCACCAUGAGGUGAGCAGCUGUACCCCACCACGUGCCACUCACCAUGAUGCUCUGCCUCACUCCAGCCCUAAAACAACAGGGCCAAGUGACCAUGGACUGAAACCUCUGAAACCAUGACCCACACUGAACCUUUCCUCCUUUUAAGGUGAUUGUUUCAGGGAUUUUGUCACAGUGAUGGAAAGCUGACUAACACAGGUUGUGCUCAGGUCCCUGGAUGCUGAAAGUACAGACUCUCAGACCUACCUCUUGCUGUUGAUUUAGAAUCUCUGCAGGUGAGCUCAGGAGGCAGGGUUUUUAUCAGUCAUCCCAGGAAAUACUGACAGCUAUAUGAGGACACGUAUUUGGGACAGACGGGAGAAGGUCAUUGCUUACUGUGUAGGUUGGUGGUGACAGGAAGUAUGCGCUCCUGAAUGUCUUAGUGGCAUGUUGGAAAUCACCUCUGUAGGGGCAUCUGCAACUGGAAGUGUCCUCAGCUCAUACCUGUCUGGGUCAGGCUCGGAGAAUUUACUUCUAGGCACUUCCCUGGUCCCAGCCAGAGGAGCAGCAGUGUGGACACCUGACACCCUGUAGGUCAAGAGGAAGAGAAGAAAGGCAAGGAGGGGCUGCAUCAUCUGCUUGAGCGCCAGAGUUAGGCGCUUAAUCAGCAGGCAUUCAUUGUUUCCAUUUCUGGAAGCUGGAAGUCCAGGGUCCUGGUGUCAGCAGGCUUGGUCUUUCUGAAACCUCCCCUUGGCUUGCGGAUGGGCCCUGCCCUGGGGGAGCCGGUGCUGUGUCCAACCAUGAGCCACGCUCCAGUCCCCUUCUGUGAGCACCAGGAGCCUGGGAAGGAAGGAAGGAAGGAAGGUUCUGGCUGACUGUGGAGAAACCAGAGCCCGGAAGUGAGUGGUGGUGGCCACACACACCAAGGGCCAGCACCAUGUUCCCGGCAGGGGGCCGUUCAGAGCCAGGGGCUGUGGUGGUCAGUGACCCCCUUGGCCCUCUGCUGCUGUACUCUGACUUGGGACAUCCUAAGGGAGCCUCCAUGGACUGUGGGGCCAGCAAGGCAGUGCUUCUGGUGACAUAGGGCCCGCCAGGUACCAGGGAUCACAUCCCCUGGGGGACCCUCACCAUGCCGCCUGCCCCCAGCCCCCAAGCCCCCCAGCCCCGGGGUCGCCACUUUCACACCCUCAGUUAGCAGCCACCUCGGGGAAAGAAAGGCCCAGGGGCUCUGAGAGCAACAUGAAAGUUUGCGCCUCUCCUUCAGUUUUUAAACUCUUCCUCUCUGGCCAGGCCAAGGCCAGAACCGCCUGCUUGUUUAUUUUUAAGUGUUUGUGCUGAUGAAGCAAUGAUGAUAUUUCCUCUUCCUCUCCCCUCUCUUCCUGUCCCUCUGUCUGUCUCUGUCUUUCUUGUAGCUCUGGGAGUUAAACUCAGGUCCUUUGUGCUGACCUAAAUCUCCAGACUUCCUUUAGAAACCUUUUUUUCUUUUUAAGUUUUGAGAAAAAGUCUUAGUAAGUUGUUAAGUUGCUCAGGUUGUUCUUGAAUUUUGGAUCCUUGUGCUUCAGCCUCCCAGAAUGCUGGGAUUGCAUGCAUGUCCCACCGUGCCCAGCUUCUUACUUCUAACCCAGCUCAUAGAGAUGACUUUAGAUCCUCGAUGUCACUGUCACUGAAAAAACAAUGCCCCAGCUCACAGGAAGUGAAUCUCUGGUGUCCAGAGCACCUGCCAAGAGGAGAGGAAAGCUGACAGGGUUGGGGGUCAGGAGCCCCCUGGCAGCUUCAGACCUGUGAUUUCUGGAGAAGGCCGGUCUGGGUCCGCAGGCUCAUCUGUCCCUUCCUUUCCCCAGGUGGCACUUGGCCUGCAGUGCCUCAGCCCAUCAGUCCCCUGACGCCACACAGGUGUCAGACAGGCCAGAGAAGCAAGGCAGUGUCGGGGCCCAGGGCCGCCUGGGGUGAGGGCAGCAUGUCGGGGGGGCUGCGCCCCAGCAGGCUCGCACAGGCUGGGAAGGCCGCCAGCAGACGGCUUUGUUUUUCGGCGCCACUUUGCUGUGAGCCUUCUCUUUCCUGAGACGACGCCAGCUGAUGGCGGGGGGAGAGAGACAGAGCUGAAUGGGACAGGCCUUGGCCUCCGCCGCUGGCCUCCUGCAUCCGCCCUUCAGAUCUCGCAGCCAGGGAAGCAGAUGUCCUGCUGGAGACUCGGCGUCUGAGGCCCACCCCAGCCCGCCUGCCUCCUCCCAGAGGAAGCCUAGAGCAGGGCCUGCCAGCUGUUGGGCUCCCUGGGCUCUGGCCCUGGUGGACUCUGUGUGCCAGGCGCCAGGUGCCAGGUAGGGGUGCUGGCCUUGCAGCUUGUGGCGGAGGGGCUGGGUGUGCGGGGACGGGAGGAGAGGGUGCCCGGCUGUCAGGACAAAGGGCAGAAAGAGGCCACUUCAGGUUCAGGUCUGGGGGUCCAGAAGGUCUCCACCCUCCACCAGCAGAGCUACAAACUAGAUGGACUAGCAGGUAGAGCAGGAGGGACACUCGAGCUAAGCCUGUGAUCCCACGUAAUUUGUUUUGCAUUUGGAGAAGGUCUCCAGCUGUGGCUUUUUCCAGGCCCGUGAGACUUUCCCAGGGCGGGGCGCUGGAGAGGGGCAUGUGGGUGCCAGGAGGCCCCAGGCUGGCCCGGGCUCUGGGAAGCAAGUGGCCAUGGCCUCCCCAGGCUGCUGGCCUCAGCUGGGGCGGCCACCGCCCAUCAGACACAGAGACAGGGACAGCAGCUGCUGCUGCAAGGUCGCCAUGGUGACUGUGACCGGCUGCUCCGGCUUUGCCCGCCCGGCUGGCAGCCCCUCCCCAGGGUGGAGGGCUGAGGUCAGACCCGUGGCCGCCUGGGCUCCGGAGCCUCAGAUCUUCUCUGGCAGCCAGGUUCAAAGCUGGGCUCCGGGCAGAGGCAAGAGAGCAGAAAAGGGCCCGGAAGGGAGGAGAAAGCUGGGCUUUACAAACACGAGCCAUUGUUCUCACACAAAAUCGAACUCAUUACUUGGGAGAUGAAAAGAAUUAGGUUUGAGAGAGAACCUCACCUAGUCAAAAUCACCUCAUUACCCCUGAGUGCCGCGGACCAGUGAUUUGCUAGUUUCCCUGAUCUUUCAGGUGUUUGGCUGAAAUCUCUUAUAAGAUCAUUUACAUCAUUUUGGCUAAGGUGAAGAAUGACUAAUAAACUCCUUUCUGAAAACUCUUCUGCUGUUUUUCAGACCAAUCAAGUCUUCUUGCAGCUAGACAACUCUGAUUACUUUAAACAGUGGCUUUUCAUGACUGAAUAUCUUUUUUUUCCUGUAGAAUGACACUGACACAUCUGUUCAGUAAAUUAUCAACAGAUUUAUUUGACUGUUCCGAAGUCCACUCACCAAGAAAGCUGAGGAAAAGGAAGCAAAGAAUUAGAGGGAAAAGUAGGAGUCACCUUACCGUGUCUCAGAAAGACGAUCAGUAUUUUUUUAAAGUGUUACUUGUAAUAUCUUUUGAAGGCUUAUUCCCAGGUCUUUAAACAUCUCUCCUGCUCUUCCCUGAGUCCCUUCUGGUUUUCAGCAUCCUGUAAAGGGUGUGAAUCAAAAUGAUCCUUUCUCCUAAUCAGGACUCCGAUCACUACACUGUGAAUGUGUAUAGAAGAGUCGCCUUCAGGCACACGAGUCUGCUUUGUCAUGGCGGUCAUCAGGCACACCUGCUUUAUUUAAUAACUCGUUACUGCGUUCCCAGCUCAUGGUUCGCUAGAAUCCCUGGAGUUUUGUUUUUAUUUUCCUUUUUCUAUAACUGUGCCUGAUUUCCAAGUCUCUUUGGGUUACUAUGAUCUCUGCCAUUUCACUUAAAACUUUCUCCUGAUGAGGCCAUCCUCUUAAGUGAAAUAAAUAGGACACACGUGUAAAUACCGAAUAGUUUCUCAGGUGUGAGAAAGUGUAAAUAAGGAUUAAAAUGAUUAAAAUGAAUAAAUGAUAAUUUGAAAUAGGAAGAAAAGGUCCAAAGGGGUAGGAAAAGUGGGAGAGGAAGGGGAAAGGAAAGAAGGGAAAGGAAAAAUUAUGAGAAAAGGAAAAAAUGGAAACAAAGUGUUUGUAAAUAGG